RNAcentral lists this ribosomal RNA (460 nucleotides) under uncultured bacterium. RNAcentral's name for it is "partial 16S ribosomal RNA". It matches the Rfam family "Bacterial small subunit ribosomal RNA", at positions 338 to 795 of the family's 1533-position model. The record is from RNAcentral.
CCUACGGGCGGCAGCAGUGAGGAAUAUUGGUCAAUGGCCGUAAGGCUGAACCAGCCAAGUAGCGUGAAGGAAGACGGAUCUAUGGUUUGUAAACUUCUUUUAUAAGGGAAUAAAGUUAUCCACGUGUGGAUUUUUGCAUGUACCCUAUGAAUAAGCAUCGGCUAACUCCGUGCCAGCAGCCGCGGUAAUACGGAGGAUGUGAGCGUUAUCCGGAUUUAUUGGGUUUAAAGGGAGCGUAGGUUGUUUUUUAAGUCAGCUGUGAAAGUUUGUGGCUCAACCAUAAAAUUGCCGUUGAUACUGGAAGACUUGAGUGUGGUUGAGGUAGGCGGAAUGCGUGGUGUAGCGGUGAAAUGCAUAGAUAUCACGCAGAACUCCGAUUGCGAAGGCAGCUUACUAAGCCAUAACUGACACUGAUGCACGAAAGCGUGGGUAUCAAACAGGAUUAGAUACCCUUGUAGUC